UAAUACAGAGGUGGCAAGCGUUGUUCGGAAUUACUGGGCGUAAAGGGCGCGUAGGCGGUUCGAUAAGUCCCGCGUGAAAGCCCCCGGCUCAACUGGGGAACUGCGCGGGAAACUGACGGACUUGAGUUCGGGAGAGGGAAGCGGAAUUCCGGGUGUAGCGGUGAAAUGCGUAGAUAUCCGGAGGAACACCGGUGGCGAAGGCGGCUUCCUGGACCGACACUGACGCUGAGGCGCGAAAGCUAGGGGAGCAAACGGGAUUAGAUACCCCGGUAGUCCUAGCUGUAAACGAUGAGCGCUGGGUGUAGGGGGUGUUAACCCCUCCUGUGCCGAAGCUAACGCAUUAAGCGCUCCGCCUGGGGAGUACGGUCGCAAGGCUG
This 377-nucleotide ribosomal RNA is filed under the name uncultured bacterium. RNAcentral's name for it is "bacterial SSU rRNA". It matches the Rfam family "Bacterial small subunit ribosomal RNA", at positions 521 to 896 of the family's 1533-position model. The record is from RNAcentral.